Molecule: ribosomal RNA, 465 nt
Filed under: Vreelandella stevensii
Lineage: Bacteria; Pseudomonadati; Pseudomonadota; Gammaproteobacteria; Oceanospirillales; Halomonadaceae
Description: partial 16S ribosomal RNA
Rfam family: Bacterial small subunit ribosomal RNA
Source: RNAcentral
CCUACGGGUGGCAGCAGUGGGGAAUAUUGGACAAUGGGGGCAACCCUGAUCCAGCCAUGCCGCGUGUGUGAAGAAGGCCCUCGGGUUGUAAAGCACUUUCAGUGAGGAAGAACGCCUGGUGGUUAAUACCCAUCAGGAAAGACAUCACUCACAGAAGAAGUACCGGCUAACUCCGUGCCAGCAGCCGCGGUAAUACGGAGGGUGCGAGCGUUAAUCGGAAUUACUGGGCGUAAAGCGCGCGUAGGUGGCUUGAUAAGCCGGUUGUGAAAGCCCCGGGCUCAACCUGGGAACGGCAUCCGGAACUGUCAAGCUAGAGUGCAGGAGAGGAAGGUAGAAUUCCCGGUGUAGCGGUGAAAUGCGUAGAGAUCGGGAGGAAUACCAGUGGCGAAGGCGGCCUUCUGGACUGACACUGACACUGAGGUGCGAAAGCGUGGGUAGCAAACAGGAUUAGAUACCCCUGUAGUC